Molecule: long non-coding RNA, 377 nt
Filed under: Gallus gallus (chicken)
Lineage: Eukaryota; Metazoa; Chordata; Aves; Galliformes; Phasianidae
Source: RNAcentral
UGACGAAGCGGCGCGGCGCGGUGACGUCAUUUCGGGGGUGGUUUUGAGGUGAAAAAGCUCAGCGGCGCCGACGGAAACCCUUCCUCCUCCCCGCUUUCCUCUUCACCACUUUCUUCUUCUUUUUGGGGGGCGGCGGCAGCGACUCCUGAUCUUGGGGUCCCAGGAGGGCGGCCGUGUCCCCAAAGUGGGUGAUGGAGUCCAGGUUGACGGCUCCCAUGGCCCGGAGGCGGCGCAGCGCCCUCUGCUGGCGGCUCUCGCUCAGCCGCACCAUCAUGGACUCCUCCAGCUGCGUCCUGGAGACCCCCAAAAUGGGACAAAAUAACCCCCUGGCACCCCAACAUGGGCCCAAAUCCCCCGUUUCUGUCACCACAUCGCUC